GGCCAGAUGCCCGAGCGGUUAAGGGGAUAGACUCGAAUCACAUCGACUCGCUAUCUAUUAGGCUUUGCCUGCGCAGGUUCAAGUCCUGCUCUGGUCG
RNAcentral lists this transfer RNA (97 nucleotides) under Rhodotorula toruloides. Its description in RNAcentral is "Rhodosporidium toruloides tRNA". It matches the Rfam family "tRNA". From Rfam's summary of the family: Transfer RNA (tRNA) molecules are approximately 80 nucleotides in length. Their secondary structure includes four short double-helical elements and three loops (D, anti-codon, and T loops). RNAcentral also lists the same sequence under 1 other name. The record is from Rfam by way of RNAcentral. Lineage: Eukaryota; Fungi; Basidiomycota; Microbotryomycetes; Sporidiobolales; Sporidiobolaceae.